AUUGAACGCUGGCGGCAUGCCUUACACAUGCAAGUCGAACGGCAGCACGGGUGCUUGCACCUGGUGGCGAGUGGCGAACGGGUGAGUAAUACAUCGGAACGUACCUUAUCGUGGGGGAUAACGCAGCGAAAGUUGCGCUAAUACCGCAUACGCCCUGAGGGGGAAAGCGGGGGACCGUAAGGCCUCGCGCGAUUAGAGCGGCCGAUGUCUGAUUAGCUUGUUGGUGAGGUAAAGGAUCACCAAGGCGAUGAUCAGUAGCUGGUCUGAGAGGCCGAUCAGCCACACUGGGACUGAGACACGGCCCAGACUCCUACGGGAGGCAGCAGUGGGGAAUUUUGGACAAUGGGGGCAACCCUGAUCCAGCAAUGCCGCGUGAGUGAAGAAGGCCUCCGGGUUGUAAAGCUCUUUUGUCAGUGAAGAAAACUUUAAUAAUAACACUAUUAAAGCAUGACGGUAACUGAAGAAUAAGGACCGGCUAACUACGUGCCAGCCGCCGCCGUAA
This 502-nucleotide ribosomal RNA is filed under the name uncultured bacterium. RNAcentral describes it as "partial 16S ribosomal RNA". It matches the Rfam family "Bacterial small subunit ribosomal RNA", at positions 30 to 523 of the family's 1533-position model. The record is from RNAcentral.